RNAcentral lists this small RNA (1046 nucleotides) under Vigna angularis var. angularis. Its description in RNAcentral is "Non-protein coding transcript". Lineage: Eukaryota; Viridiplantae; Streptophyta; Magnoliopsida; Fabales; Fabaceae. The record is from RNAcentral.
AAUUUAUUAAAAAGAAUUAUUUAUCAAUUAAAUUAUUCAUAAACCUUAUUUCUAAAUUUAUUUAUUCAUUAAUUCAUCCUCUCAAAAGAAUACAUACAGAUAGAAAAGCGGGUGUCAACUGUGUUUGGAUCCGCCGAUUUGAAUUAAUUUCAAAAUGUUGAUUUGCAAUUGAGUAUAAAGUCUUUGUACUCACUGAAGUGAGGAUAUCCCUAGGGAAAGCUACGUCAUUGUUUUUGAAUUUACUUAUACCAUCCUCACAAUUUAACAUUUCUAUGCAUUCUCUGCUUGUUUUUGGAUUGGGUCGAGUUUUUGAAGUUUGAAGGACAAAAGUGAUGAAGAAGAAGCUAGGGAUUGAUUCUCCAAGGAAGGAAUCAAUUAUGGGAGUUGAAAAAAUGCAAAAUGGCUAAGGAUCUCUUACUCGCGGUGCUAGUGACUCGGUGAUGUUUCUAGUUUCAUGCUCAUGGUAAAGUCUUAUAGAAGAGCUAUGCUGGAAGAAAAUUGUAUGCUGCAAUCAUGCUUGGUGCCGUAAACGUGCAUGGUUAUAUGUAUGGUGAAGAACAGGUUGCUAAACACGAACCUAGGAGCAGAGGAAGAGAAAACAUAGAAAAACUGUAAAAGAAAACUUUAUGUAUAUUGCAUAUACGUUUAUUACAGGAGAGCAAGAUGUAUAUAUAUAAGAGAAAGAAGAAACGAAAAACAAAAAAGAAGAAUAGAAAAACAGAAGCAACAAAAGGUGGUUAUAGAGACUGUGAAUCAGAUUUUAAUGUGGUCUGACAGCCCCCUCAAGCUUCGUAGAUGUUGAUGAUGCCAAGCUUGGAUGUGAUAUUGUAAAAAUUGAUUGAGGAAGUGGCUCUGAUACCACGAAAAAUGUAUAAGCCAACAUGUGAUUCAACUGAACCAAUCUUGUUGUGUGUUAUGGAGUCCUGUAGAAAACAUGUUGUGUUAGUAAAGAUUAUGUGAAUGUUAUUAUGUGGACAAAAAUCUGGAAUGAAAAGGACAUCUUUCAAAAAGAUUUUAUCACAAAUUUGGACACUCCGUUUUAUGGU